CAAUUCUUGUAAGAGGGCUCAAAGAAACGAUAGUGAAAGUAUGCAGCUUCAACAGUUCAACCACAAAGGAAAGCAGACCUGUGUGUUUCUCUCCUUUUUUUUUAUUUUCCCUCUCGCUCACCCCUUUUGUUAUUCCCAGCUCUGGACUAUCCACGCAGCAGGACCAACGUGGGAUCUAAGGACAGUCAAUAAGAACAUUUCAGUUCAUCUUUGAUUCAUAGAUUGAAGACCUGAAGAUCAUUCUUACCUCACAACAGGUGGAAAGAGGAAAAAUACCUGUCCCAUGUCAGUGCUCACCUUUGCUGACCGAGGCAGAUGUGGUGAUAGAAGGUGUGCAUAAGAAGAGGAGAGGUACAGAAUCCUUCUGAGUUGGUGCAGUAUCGAUCACCAAGCAGAAUGGAAGUCAGAGAGAAAUUCCAAAAUGUUUGGAAAAAUCAUUAUAAUGUAUUGCCUAUAUCACUUUAUUCCUUAAUUAUGGUUGUGGUAGAGGAAAUAAUGGAGCUGGAAUUUAAAUGUCCUCAGGAAAAGUCAUUAAGGGUAUGGUAUGUUGCUUCUUACUUUUCCUGUCCAGCCUUCAUUACAUUUGUCCUGAGCUUGACCUCCCAUCCCGCCUGCAUUCCCUGGGCUCGCUGUGUUGGGAAGUGCUCGUGCUACCGCAAGACUCAGAUCAUUUUUAGGGCAUUUUUACCUCCUGUGAUUUGGUGUGUGAUCCUCCUGUGCGAUGGCAGAUACAUCGACUGUGUGGUUUCAGGAAAUGAAGGAAACAACACCCAAAGCAGAGCAGCUGAAUUACCCAGUGAGUCCUACACCAAAUCUCAGGUGUCAGGGCUGUUCAUUCUCACUGCUGUUGUCACUCUCUGUGGCCUGUGCCACGUGUUCCCCUGCUGGUUCUGCUGUAAAAAUGAAGAAGGACAUUGGAGAGAGGAGCUGCAGAGCCGAUUAGAGGAAGGAGCCAGGAAUCACAUUGAAGAAUUGAAGAACGAGGGUGUAGAGCAGAUCAUGGAAGAGAGAGUGAAACCUCUUCUGCAGCCUGCUAAUGCCAAUUUCUGGGAAAACAUAGAUUUAAGAAGCAUAGGAAAAGAAAUAAAGAAAGUGGUAGAGUCUGCUCUUAAAAAUAAGCCAGCAGAGAGACAGCCAGCAGGGCAACAGGGUUUGCCUCUCACCCCUCUGGUUCGGGGACCCCUUUCCUAGAAUUAAGGGUCCCCCUCAGCUCCCCUUAACUUAGCGGGCCCCAUCAUCCCUUAGUGCCUCUUCUCCAUCACAGACCCCCCCAUCCUGCAGGGAUUGACCACAGCACAAGCGGCUCCAGGAAUUAACUCUGCGCUCUGAGGAGGUGGCAGCAGCUAUGGCCAAAAAGCCAGAGCAGGUGCUGACGUGGCAACACCAGGAUGCUGGACCUGCCCACCCUGGGCUUGCUGGGGAAAGCUCCCACUGUUCUCCCAGCUCAGCUCUCCUGGCCUCCAAAGCAGGUCUGGCUCUUACACUGCUGUCAGAAGAGUAAGUUGGGUUUCUCCUCCUCUUCUCAGCUCCAGCUUAGAAGCCAGCAGGUACCAUCAGACAGCACCUGUCACCUUAUUAUCCCUCUUCCUAUUGCUUGGCCCUCAUUUUGUUGCUCUUUUACCUCUCUUUCUUUACCCUUGUGACUAAUUUCAAUUUUCAAUUUUGCUAUGGAUAUACCCAGAAAUUGUUAUUCUAGUAAUGUAAAUAGAAAAAUCUUCGGUAAUCAGAGGCUUCCUUUGCAUAAAGCAAGGAAGAAAGAAGUAAAGAAGAAGGAACAAUAAUCAAGCUUAAAUGGCAGCAGAAAUGUGAGCUGGUCCUUGCUGAACAUUGUGCUGGUUUGCCCUGUUCCCGUGGGCAAGGACUCAACAAGGGCCUCAUGGCAAUAAAACUUUGUGAGCCCAA
Long non-coding RNA from Corvus hawaiiensis (hawaiian crow), 1902 nucleotides. RefSeq lists it as uncharacterized. NCBI's taxonomy places the organism in Eukaryota, Metazoa, Chordata, Aves, Passeriformes, Corvidae. The transcript has 5 exons. The record is from RefSeq and is a predicted model, not a curated record.